CGCUGGGGCUUCUUCUUCUGCAAUAAUUUCGCUCAAACUUCUUUGUUUCACAUUGCAUAUUCCAACACCUCAAAUGGGUACACUUCACUUGUCUCACUUGCUUUCUUGUCUCACUUGCUUUUCAAACUGCAUCAAAACCAGAAUGUACAUUCACAGCCAAAAAAAGAAAAAAAAGAAAAACACAACCUUUGUGGAAGUGUUUGAUUCAUUAGAUGUUUUGAAAGGAGGGGUUUUCUUCAAAAUUGGACCUUUUGUUCUCCAGGCUUUGUAAUUGUCACCAGAGAACCAACAUUGAUCAGAAAAUUAGCAAUGUUUUUUACGCAAGACACUGUAUGCUUUCUAAGGAAAUCUACCCUGAUGGUGGGCCAUUACAUGCCUCACCUGAUGUACUACAUCACUCUUGUCUUGGUUGAAGUAUUUGGC
Molecule: long non-coding RNA, 423 nt
Organism: Quercus lobata
Lineage: Eukaryota; Viridiplantae; Streptophyta; Magnoliopsida; Fagales; Fagaceae
Exons: 3
Source: RefSeq, a predicted model, not a curated record